CCAGGCGCGCUCCCGACGACAGCGCGCGGGAGGGAGGGAGGAAUUAUCGGGAGCGGGGAAGAGGAGAAAUCACGCUGCGAAGGAGACCCAAGCGCUUUCAAGAUCUCUCCAUUCCCCGGAAAUGUAUAGUGUGUCUCUAUAUAUGUAUAUACACAUAUUUUUUCUCCAGUUUCGCUAACUGCAGAAGAUGAAAGGGGGACAGCCUUUAGAAACAGUGGAGAAAACCAUUACCCGGCUAUCAAGAGGGAGAUCUGCAGUGCAGAGUUAGAAAGCUUCUAAGCCGCAACCGACUGCAACCUGGUUCAUUAAAUAAACAUGCAAUGCACUGACCCUCCGCGGAAGGGUUGGUCCCGGGCCCAGUUCCGAGGCUCCCUGUACUCCUAAGGACCCGUUCCUUUCCUUGACUUGGGGAGCCCUGCCUAGAUUCCUAACUCCCCAGUGCAAUGUAACUGAAGGGAAGGGGAUAUUUUUCAAGAGGAAGCCAUCAUCCCAAAAUAAAAGGACUGGCCACUCCCCCUAAACUCUGCAGACUCAGAGAAAAAUGUGGCAACGGGGAAUGUUUCCUGAAACCUAUGUAGAGAAGGCUAGAGCAGAACAAUUCCUCCCUAGGGGGAUCAUUUCAGUGAACAGCAGAUCCUUUCAAUAUCCUCUUCCAUUCCUGGCAGCAAGCAAACGUCUAAUCAGAUAUUCAGCUCAGUGCACAAAAUGGCUAACAUCAUCUAAUGUGGCAGAGGCAGCUCUAGUUUGCACCAGUAAGGAAUGCAUUUCGUUUCAGUCGUGAGGAAUAGAUGUAACAAACCUUUUUGUGCCUUUGUCUCCCUUUGGAAAACCACUCUGGCUCCAUGAAUACUCUGCAGUGAGGUGGGGUACCAAACUACUAAUGCCAAAUACAAAGGAGCCUGGAAGCUUGGAUAGACUGUUAAAUUGCUAUGUUGAUUGCAGAAUACAAUCUAAUUCCUGUUCAGUUAUGAACUAAGGCUUUACCUAGAAAACUGUAAACCUCAAGCAUUUGGAAGACUUUUUAAAAGGUCUGUCAACAUUUGCAUUAACUAAGUUCCAUUCAUUUAGCAGAAUUUAUUUAGUUCUUAUUAUGUACCUAACAUAAGGAGCUCUUAUGUUAUAGAAGAGCUCUUAAUGGAAUACACUUUAAACUAUAUAUCCUAUGGGCUAUAUCAACUUUUGGCUCAGUACCUUUUUCAGGUAGUAAAUACAUAUAAAAUUAGGGAAAAGCACUGAUUUUUAAAAAUUGUACUCUCUCUGUGCAAGAUUCAGCAAUCAGAUAUUUAUUGCACACCUAUUAUUAUUCCAUCAUUUGUUGUUAUUCUUGCAUGGUUCAAACCACCAUUCAAUAGUUGCCCAUCCUUUUGCCUUAUCUAACAAAAUUUUGCCAGAAGGUGGAAGGGAGAGUGUUGCCCUUGUUGUGUAACUCAGUGCUGCUGCCCAUAGUCCAUGGAAACAUGGCUACAAUCAAGUAUUUGUCCAGCCUGA
Non-coding RNA from Monodelphis domestica (gray short-tailed opossum), 1488 nucleotides. NCBI's taxonomy places the organism in Eukaryota, Metazoa, Chordata, Mammalia, Didelphimorphia, Didelphidae. The record is from RefSeq and is a predicted model, not a curated record.